This 62-nucleotide transfer RNA is filed under the name Paracanthobdella livanowi. Its description in RNAcentral is "tRNA-His". The record is from RNAcentral. Lineage: Eukaryota; Metazoa; Annelida; Clitellata; Acanthobdellida.
AUUAAAGUAAGUUAAAUAAAACUAUUGAGUUGUGAUCUCAGACAUAUCCCAGAUCUUUAUUA